Molecule: transfer RNA, 63 nt
Filed under: Vespula germanica
Lineage: Eukaryota; Metazoa; Arthropoda; Insecta; Hymenoptera; Vespidae
Description: tRNA-Ser
Source: RNAcentral
AGAAAUAAUAUAGAUAAAGCUUCUAACUUUAUAAUAAUGAAUUAAAUAUUCAUUUUAUUUCUU